This 424-nucleotide ribosomal RNA is filed under the name Fusobacteriota bacterium. RNAcentral's name for it is "Fusobacteria bacterium partial 16S ribosomal RNA". It matches the Rfam family "Bacterial small subunit ribosomal RNA", at positions 355 to 776 of the family's 1533-position model. The record is from RNAcentral. Lineage: Bacteria; Fusobacteriati; Fusobacteriota.
UGAGGAAUAUUGGUCAAUGGGCGAGAGCCUGAACCAGCCAAGUCGCGUGAAGGAAGACAGUCCUAAGGAUUGUAAACUUCUUUUAUACGGGAAUAACGGGCGAUACGAGUAUUGCAUUGAAUGUACCGUAAGAAUAAGCAUCGGCUAACUCCGUGCCAGCAGCCGCGGUAAUACGGAGGAUGCGAGCGUUAUCCGGAUUUAUUGGGUUUAAAGGGUGCGUAGGUUGUUCGGUAAGUCAGCGGUGAAACCUGAGCGCACAACGUUCAGCCUGCCGUUGAAACUGCCGGGCUUGAGUUCAGUGGCGGCAGGCGGAAUUCGUGGUGUAGCGGUGAAAUGCAUAGAUAUCACGAGGAACUCCGAUUGCGAAGGCAGCUUGCCAUACUGCGACUGACACUGAAGCACGAAGGCGUGGGUAUCAAACAGG